RNAcentral lists this long non-coding RNA (4084 nucleotides) under Homo sapiens (human). RNAcentral describes it as "NRIP3 divergent transcript (NRIP3-DT)". The record is from RNAcentral. Lineage: Eukaryota; Metazoa; Chordata; Mammalia; Primates; Hominidae.
GCGCUCCGGAUUUCUCCAACUUCAGGCCCUGAAAUGUGGUAGUUCAGCUCCACAUUGGAUGCUUUUGGCCGAUGCCUUGGUUUUGCUCCUCCCCUAUGUGCCAGUCCUAUGAGUCUGCUAGCCUCCUGGUUCAGUGUGGAAGCCUCCUUGGCUGCAGCGGGGGUCAUGCACAGCAGCCUCAGGAGGCUGCAUUUGUCCAUCUCAGCAUCUCUUUCCCUGGGUCUGGCCCUCAACCUCUUUCUUGUAGGCUGGAAUUUGAGUGCUUCACUCCCUGAACUCUGGAGGAUUUUAACAUAGUUACGACUUGUGUCUCCAAAUGGAUAAACCAGGACCAGUGCCGCACUCAGUCGAAGCCAACUAGACCACUGCUAGACCACUUUUUUCAACACCGAGUGUGCCAUGAGAAACUAUGUUAAUAAAAGGCAAAAAUGUGGAAGGAACAGGAAGAAUGAAAAAGCAAAAUAAAAAAGGGCAAAUUCUUGCAAAACCUCUUCAUCCCUAGCUUUUCCCAGAAAUCCUGGCAUUUCUUCAGUAAAUUUGUUCUGUGCAAGUAUUUGUUCUACCAAGACCGAUCAGUGAAAAAUGAGAAAAACCUAGUUUCUUCCCUAGGAAUUGAUGCCAUUUUAUGAAAUCUGUUAUUAAUAUCAGCCAGUUGUCGAGAAAGUGCACUUGUUCAGUAGCUGACUUUGGCUGCUCAGUAUGGGCUUUUGCUUUGCCAAAAAUAAUGAGAUCACUUUUCUAAUUCCUUUUUAAUGUGUUUACACAGCUUCAACAGUAUUGCCUGCUCUAUACACUAGGAAACAUUAUGUGGAACAGCAAAUUUGCUUUCCAAGUCAAACUGAAGAAAACCACACAAUAAUUAUCUAGAAUUAACUUACUGAAUUUAAAGAGGAAUAUACUUGAACUGCCUGACAAAUUAUGCAUUAAGAACAAACCAAGAGAAAAACAAAACAAACAUCACACCAUAAUAUUUUUGUAAAAAGUUUUGAAAGACAAGUGUUUCAUCGUCUUGAGAACGCUGACUUAUGAUGCCCUUGAUUGGCAUUAAGGAAACAAACUCUGGGAAAGAAUGAUGACGUCCUGUUAUAUUCUCAUCUUUGUAUUGCUCUCUCAAGAAAUAUGGGGGAGGAGGAGCCAGAAGAAGAAACAGCUCGAAGAAUUGACUAUUGUUGCCUCUGGCAAAUGGGAUGAGGAAAUGGGAAGUUAUGAGACAAGGAAAUGAUGAGUUUCAUUACAAGCCUAGAAGUAAUUAAGCGUUUAUGUUACUCAUUUGUACUAUUUUCACUUAAGACAAUGAAAAUUUAUAAUUUCUAAAGAGCAGAAAAGAGCUCGGAAAGGUUACCUGCUUGGUAACCAAUGGCUGUAUGAUAUGUUGCCUGACUGUUAAAUCCAGAAACUGUCAAAAGAUGGGUUUUGUUUAGGUUGAGCCAGACUUUCUCCAGAAGGAGUAACGCACCAAAGGAUCUGUCUGACUCCCACCCCCAUGACCACCUCUAUUUCUGCUCAUCUCCAGCUUGACCGCUGGACCUUCAGGCAGGUCUUCCCUUGUCCCACAGCCAAGUGUUGCCCCUCUCCAUUCAUCUCUUCUACUAUUAUCAUCAGCUGAGUCAGAAAUAGAAGACUCAGUGGACACAAAAAAAGACUAGCUGCCAUUCUGAGCUAGAGGCUGCUUCAGAGGAAGACAGCUGACUUCACUGACCACCCACUCAGUCCCAGGCACUGGACUCUGGGCACCUUUCCAUAUUAUUAUCUUAAUUGAGCAUCCCAACUGAUAUGGCCAGGCUUUAUGUCCCCACUCAAAUCUCAUCCUGAAUUAUAAUCCCCAUAAUCCCCUCGUGUCAAGGGAGAGACCAGGUGGAGGUGAUUGGAUUAUGGGGGCGGUUCCCAUGCUGUUCUCAUGAUAGAGUGAGAUCAUGAGAUCUCAUGGUUUUACAAGUGUUUGGUAGUUCCUCCUGCAUUUAUUCUCCUUCCUGCCACCUUGUGAAGAAGGUACCUUGCUUCCCCUUUGCCUUCCACCAUGAUUAUAAGUUUCCUGAGGCCUCCCCAGCCAUGUGGAACUGUGAGUCAAUUAAGCCUCUUUCUUUAUCAAUUACCCAGUCUCAGGCAGUUCUUUACAGCAGUAUGAAAAUGGGCGAAUACCCUGGCCCUAAGAGGUAGACUUUAUUACAUCCAUUUCAAAGAAAGACCAAGAGACAGAGCCUCAGGGCAGUUUGCCAAGUCUUACAGCUAGGUGGGGGCUGCAUUGGGACGUUAACCUGAUUAUUCUGAUGGACACGAGACCAAGGGUCUUGCUUGGUUGGUGAUUAAGCAACAGCACUGGUGAAGAACAGACACACACCCUGGUUCACAGGAGCUGCUCACCCCAGUCCAGCUGGUCUGAGGGCAUGUGGCUCCCAAGUUCAGGUCUGAUGCAAUAAGUUGGGGAGGGAAAAGGACAAUUGCAGUGGCCAAGGAAAGGGAGUGAAGGUGCCUACCCAUGAGCAGCCGCCGUUUCACCCGUUUAUCCCCAUCCACCACUGAUGUGGUGUUGCUCUCUGUCACCUCCAGGACAGUGUCCUCUCGCUCUACAAGAGAAGCAAAAGAGCACGGUUCUCAGACUGAAUGAGUUAGAUUGCUCAUCCCCAUACAACUGUGUUUGCUGAAAUCCCAGACAUAAGAGGAAUGAAAGAUAUGUGACUCUGUUCACGCAAUAAAAAUGUGUUGUAAUGAGGCUCUGUGGGAGACACAGCCCGUUAAAGGGCCACAGAUCCUUAGCAAACAUUAAACAUGGAAAAGAUUUUGGAGGUAUAUUGCACUGACCAAAGAGACACUAGGGAAUGCAAGCUUCAGUCCCCUGAGUCGAGGAGAAAAAGAGCCUUGGGCCUGGAAACCUCUAAAAUGGAGCUAGUGAAGGACACACCGUGAAGGGCAAGGCAGGCAUCCCGCCAGAAAUAUACGGCCCUGGCUCCUGCUGGCCAGAAGUGCCGCAUCAUUAUAAACAGCUCUAACUUCGUGCUGCCCUGGCCUCCUGGGAGGUGUUGUGCCAGUCUCUGGAAUACCAGCGUUAGGAGCAGCCUAGUCCAGGAGAGGAGGAAGGGCUUCCCAAGGUCACACAGGGAGAGAGGGGCCUUCCCCACAGGCCUAGACCACUCCCACUGUAGCAUGCGAAGCAGCACAGGGCCUGCUGGGGGGGCAAAUGCACAGGAAACAGCCUGCAUCUGUGCUAAACACCAUUAAGGGGUAGGGGUAGGGACAGGCAGGCUGGUGCAGACCCUCACUCAGUGUUGGGGUUGCCACUCACCAAGGCAGCUCCUCCCAUCUGUGUGCAUCUUGUACUGUGGAUGGCAGCUGCACUCUGGGCCAUCGGCUGUAUCGUCACAGGAGUGCUGGCACCCACCGUUCCCAUGGUUACAGGUCACUGACAGCAAAAUGAAUCAAUACAUAAAGCACUGAGAUUUCCACAAACACAGGGCUGUGUUUGCUCCAGAGAAAUUCUGAUUUUCAUUCUGCAAGUAUUUGAGCACCUAGUGCAUGCCAGGCAUGGUGCACGAAAGACAUAACUCCAAGUCAGACCCUGUGGUGUCUGUGUAUGCAGAUAGUUACAAUACAAAUUGUAGAAAUGCUGAAACAUGGGUUUAAACAAAGUCAUACAGGAAGAGGGAGAUGGGAGAGUUGGGGGAGAGACUUUUAUUAUAUAAGGGAGAUUAUACCAAGAGAUUCUAGACUACUGCUUUGUUCUAUCUAGAGAAGUUUACCUAUUAAUACAGCUGUACUGGGGCUUUGGGAAAUGCUAUAGCACUUUAUGCUGGAAUAAAACAGACAAUAUUUAAUUUGUACAUAUAUGUCAGAAUUUCUCUCAUCAGAUUCAAUCUAGAUUAGUUAGAAGGAAGGAUAAUCACAGGAUGAUUCUGCACACAAUUAACGUGACAGUAACUGGUAAUUAUCAAGACUAUAUAUGAAUGUAUUGAUGAUAGGCCAAAAAGAAAAAAAGCCAACUACAAAACUAUCUAUUCAUCAAACUGCUAACCGUGGUUACCUCUGGCAAGGGAAACGGGAGGCGGGAAACUGCAUGUUUUCUUUAUAUGCUUUGGAGUGUUUGCAUUUU